Molecule: long non-coding RNA, 1698 nt
Organism: Anopheles funestus (African malaria mosquito)
Lineage: Eukaryota; Metazoa; Arthropoda; Insecta; Diptera; Culicidae
Exons: 3
Source: RefSeq, a predicted model, not a curated record
UCUGAGGGCAUGGCUGUCGAAGAAGAAAAUGUAGCCAUUGGUGCCAUCUAUCGACCACAGGUUAAAGAUUGACGAUCCGUUGGAUACCGACCGAGUUAUAGGCAAAAUUUGGUGCAAAAAUGACCCUUAGUAAAUUUUCAUUUUUUUGAAUUUUUUGAUUUUUUCAUUAUUUUUCACUCUUUUUUUUAUUUCAAUCAUUAUUUGAGUGAAAAGAAACUCAUUGCAACCAAUUAGCAUUAAAAUAAAACAAUUUUAUUUUUUUUGCAAAAUUUCUCAAAAAAACGUAAGGGGUAAGCCUUAUGAAAUUUUCGAGUUGAAAUUUUUUUGAAAUUUUUUUUUCGAUUUUUUAUUGUUUUUUUAGUUUAAAGCAUUAUUUGAGUGAACAGAAACAUAUUGCAACAAAUUCCCAUUAAAAUAUAUCACAGUUUUCAAUUUUGCUAAAUUGUUCAAAAACAGGGUAAGGAACUUGGUUCCUCGAAUAACUUCUGGCACAGACAUCUGACGGUAUGGCCGUCCAAGAAGAAAAUGUAGCCAUUGGUACCAUCUAUCGACCACAGGUUAAAGAUUGGCGAUCCGUUGGAUACCGACCGAGUUAUAGGUAAAAUUUGGUGCAAAAAUGUGAAAAAUUUUACAUUUUCUCAAACAGGGUAAGGAACUUGGUUCCUCGAAUAUCUUCUGGCACAGACAUCUGAGGGCAUGGCCGUCCAAGAAGAAAAUGUAGCCAUUGGUGCCAUCUAUCGACCACAGGUUAAAGAUUGGCGAUCCGUUGGAUACCGACCGAGUUAUAUGCAAAAUUUCUUGCAAAAAUGACCCUUAGUAAAUUUUCAUUUUUUUGAAUAUUUUGAUUUUUUCAUUAUUUUUCACUCUUUUUUUUAUUUCAAUCAUUAUUUGAGUGAAAGGAAACCCAUUGCAACCAAUUGGCAUUAAAAUAAAACAAUUUUAUUUUUUUUGCAAAAUUUCUCAAAAAAAACGUAAGGGGUAAGCCUUAUGAAAUUUUCGAGUUGAAAUUUUUUUGAAAUUUUUUUUUCGAUUUUUUAUUCUUUUUUCAGUUUAAAGCAUUAUUUGAGUGAAAAGAAACAUAUUGCAACAAAUUCCCAUUAAAAUAUAUCUCAUUUAAAAACUUUGCUAAAUUUUCAAAAACAGGGUAAGGAACUUAGUUCUUCGAAUAACUUCUGGCACAGACAUCUGACGGUAUGGCCGUCCAAGAAGAAAAUGUAGCCAUUGGUGCCAUCUAUCGACCACAGGUUAAAGAUUGGCGAUCCGUUGGAUACCGACCGAGUUAUAGGUAAAAUUUGGUGCAAAAAUGACCCUUAGUAAAUUUUCAUUUUUUUGAAUUUUUUGAUUUUUUCAUUAUUUUUCACUCUUUUUUUAUUUCAAUCAUUAUUUGAGUGAAAGGAAACCCAUUGCAACCAAUUGGCAUUAAAAUAAAACAAUUUUAUUUUUUUUGCAAAAUUUCUCAAAAAAACGUAAGGGGUAAGCCUUAUGAAAUUUUCGAGUUGAAAUUUUUUUGAAAUUUUUUUUUCGAUUUUUUAUUGUUUUUUCAGUUUAAAGCAUUAUUUGAGUGAACAGAAACAUAUUGCAACAAAUUCCCAUUAAAAUAUAUCACAGUUUUCAAUAUUGCUAAAUUGUUCAAAAACAGGGUAAGGAACUUGGUUCCUCGAAUAACUUCUGGCACAGACAUCUGACGGUAUGGCCGUC